RNAcentral lists this ribosomal RNA (464 nucleotides) under Vreelandella stevensii. Its description in RNAcentral is "partial 16S ribosomal RNA". It matches the Rfam family "Bacterial small subunit ribosomal RNA", at positions 338 to 795 of the family's 1533-position model. Lineage: Bacteria; Pseudomonadati; Pseudomonadota; Gammaproteobacteria; Oceanospirillales; Halomonadaceae. The record is from RNAcentral.
CCUACGGGGGGCAGCAGUGGGGAAUAUUGGACAAUGGGCGAAAGCCUGAUCCAGCCAUGCCGCGUGUGUGAAGAAGGCCUUCGGGUUGUAAAGCACUUUCAGUGGGGAAGAAAGCCUUGGGGCUAAUACCCUCGAGGAAGGACAUCACCCACAGAAGAAGCACCGGCUAACUCCGUGCCAGCAGCCGCGGUAAUACGGAGGGUGCGAGCGUUAAUCGGAAUUACUGGGGUAAAGCGCGCGUAGGCGGUCUGAUAAGCCGGUUGUGAAAGCCCCGGGCUCAACCUGGGAACGGCAUCCGGAACUGUCAGGCUAGAGUGCAGGAGAGGAAGGUAGAAUUCCCGGUGUAGCGGUGAAAUGCGUAGAGAUCGGGAGGAAUACCAGUGGCGAAGGCGGCCUUCUGGACUGACACUGACGCUGAGGUGCGAAAGCGUGGGUAGCAAACAGGAUUAGAUACCCGAGUAGUC